GACGAACGCUGGCGGCGUGCCUAAUACAUGCAAGUCGAGCGGAGUUUUUAAAAGCUUGCUUUUAAAAACUCAGCGGCGGACGGGUGAGUAACACGUGGGCAACCUGCCCUGUAGACUGGGAUAACUUCGGGAAACCGAAGCUAAUACCGGAUAAUCAUAGAAGUUGCAUAGCUUCUAUGUAAAAGUUGGGUUUACCUAACACUACAGGAUGGGCCCGCGUCGCAUUAGCUAGUUGGUAAGGUAACGGCUUACCAAGGCGACGAUGCGUAGCCGACCUGAGAGGGUGAUCGGCCACACUGGGACUGAGACACGGCCCAGACUCCUACGGGAGGCAGCAGUAGGGAAUCUUCCGCAAUGGACGAAAGUCUGACGGAGCAACGCCGCGUGAGCGAUGAAGGCCUUUCGGGUCGUAAAGCUCUGU
Molecule: ribosomal RNA, 421 nt
Filed under: Bacilli bacterium oral taxon C43
Lineage: Bacteria; Bacillati; Bacillota; Bacilli
Description: bacterial SSU rRNA
Rfam family: Bacterial small subunit ribosomal RNA
Source: RNAcentral